AGCACAGGUUCAAACAGUAAAUCCUCUUUUGCAAUCCAGAACUCAUUGUUGAGUAUGUGUUUUGGUACAUGUAAGAAGGAAUAGG
Molecule: small nucleolar RNA, 85 nt
Filed under: Dipodomys ordii (Ord's kangaroo rat)
Lineage: Eukaryota; Metazoa; Chordata; Mammalia; Rodentia; Heteromyidae
Description: Small nucleolar RNA SNORA40 (ENSDORG00000022697.2)
Rfam family: Small nucleolar RNA SNORA40
About the family: The snoRNA ACA 40 belongs to the H/ACA family of snoRNAs and guides the pseudouridylation of 28S rRNA subunit at position U4565. NB This family has a high threshold value to exclude a large number of closely related sequences that do not appear to have conserved H and ACA boxes, and may be pseudogenes.
Source: RNAcentral